Long non-coding RNA from Vicia villosa (hairy vetch), 870 nucleotides. RefSeq lists it as uncharacterized. The transcript has 4 exons. Lineage: Eukaryota; Viridiplantae; Streptophyta; Magnoliopsida; Fabales; Fabaceae. The record is from RefSeq and is a predicted model, not a curated record.
UCUCUCUCUCUUUGUGAUCCUCCCCUUUUCUCUCUGAACCCUUUUAUUAACCACAAAUUUGUUUUAAGCUUUGAAGCUCUGAAUCCAUAACCCAUGGCUAAUUGAGAAAGGUGAAGGAUGGGACACAAACCCUAACGCAAAAACACGAAACCGCACUGAUUCCAUCACCAACUUCGAAAGCGAAGCCGUUGCAAGUUGGAAAGGGCUUAUUAUGAUGGACUGCUCAAUCGCCUCCGUAAACACGCAUUAACACCGCGUGACUCUAACCAAACUGUUAGAAAAUUUAUAGGCUGAAAAGUUUUUGUCAGGUUCUAUUUAGCUGCAUAAUUCUAACUUGGAUUAUUGCAUGGUACAUGUUUGUAUUUUUGCUUCAACGAGUCUCUUGCAGGAAAAUUAUACCCUGUCCAUCUACUAAUCCGGGUUGCAUAUCUAUAAAUCCAAAGUCAUUGUCUCCAUACAAAUCCUGUGUUUUUGGGACCAAGAACAGUCAAUUCUUGCAGGGAGUAGCUGUCUUUGUAAUAAUCUGAUAAAAUGAAAGUGAUUCAAUGGGUAGCAAGAACGAAGUUGGUCAGAAAAUGGACAAAGAGUUAUACCAAUCUACUCGCACCUGGCAGAAAAAGAGUUAAAAGCGGACAACUCAAAGUUGGGAAGGGUUGCUCUUUCCGCUGCAAUCAUUAACGAUGUUCUGUCAUGGAUGCUUUUGGCUAUAGCUAUUGCUUUGACAGUAUAUGGAAUAAUCUAUGUGGCUUCUAUAAUGGUUGUUUUGUUUUUGUUGCCUUUAAUGAUUUUGUUGUGCUGUUGUUGUAAGACCUAUAAUCAUGGGAUAAUAAGGAAAACACCAAAAGUCAAAAAUCGUAUGGUGAUUUCUAC